RNAcentral lists this unclassified non-coding RNA (839 nucleotides) under Drosophila ananassae. RNAcentral describes it as "GF23061". Lineage: Eukaryota; Metazoa; Arthropoda; Insecta; Diptera; Drosophilidae. The record is from RNAcentral.
GUCUAAAAUAAUAAUAAACAUUAAAUGCCAGAUUGUAUGCAACCCUUGGCCUGAACGAGAGGCAGACUCUGAAGGCGGCCCAUGCCAUAUCCAACUGGAUGGGCAUCAUGCUGAAGUCCCAAAUCUCGCUGACCCGCACUACACCCGCCUACAAGCUGUUGCCCCGCCAGUGCCCCGGAUCCUACUGCAUCUUCUACCGCAUCUACAUAUGUGGACAGGCCCCAGGUGCACACUCUGGGCGAGGGCCACAAGCACGGGCAGCUCAACACGAUUGUGGGCUCGCUGGUGAUGUCGGUGGCCUAUCGAACCAAACUCACGAUUUCGCCAAUGACCGCCCAGGCGAAAAGCAAUUCCAGGUCAUGUCACGUUUCAAAGUUUCCAUUGAUGAGCUACCGGGGAAGAACGUUCAGAACCUGGAGAACCUGGUGACCAAAGGAGAGCGGGUGCAAAUGUGAGUAAAAUGGGGGAGAUUCUUUCUUUUUAAGACUUCAAUUAUCCCUUGAACGCCAUCCGAGAUCGACAGCAAUCGAGUUCCUUGAGCACCAUGCUCGAGUUUAACAUGGUCAAUGGACAGCCCUUCUGCGAAGACAGGCGGAAAAUAAUCUCCUACUUAAGUGUGGAUAUACCCAAGUACUCAAGUACUUUGUUUCCGGAAAACAUAGGUGGAAAGGCGAUGGUAUUCGCAGUGGAGCAACGCCAACGCCUCCAUCGGUGGGAUCCACUUGUCCGUUGAUUUUACUUCUUUUGGACACACAACUAAAUCACAAUGUGUAAAAUGUAGAUAGAUGUAAGAUAGAAAUUUAAGUAAGAAGAAAACAAGGAUUGACUUUUGCUUGGAA